This 29-nucleotide non-coding RNA is filed under the name Rattus norvegicus (Norway rat). The record is from RNAcentral. Lineage: Eukaryota; Metazoa; Chordata; Mammalia; Rodentia; Muridae.
UUGGCACAGAAAUCCUAUCCUCUACACUU